This is a non-coding RNA of Planctomycetes bacterium GWC2_39_26, 366 nucleotides long. The record is from Rfam. Lineage: Bacteria; Pseudomonadati; Planctomycetota.
AAAGUAGACGAGGUGGUCGUCGGUUUCUACUAUUCUCAGGAAUAGUGGGGACGGGAGGAAAGUCCGAGCUCCACAGGACACAGUGCUCCGUAACGCGGAGUCCCGGUGACGGGAAGGAAAGUACAACAGAAAAUAUACCGUCCCACUAUUUUGCGGGAUAAGGGUGAAAUGGUGGAGUAAGAGCCCACCGCUCCAAUGGUGACAUUGGGGGCAUGGCAAACCCCACUGGGAGAAAGGCUAAAUAGAGAGGGAUGAAGCGGUCCGCUUCGCUAACACCUCCGGGUAAGCCGUUUGAUCUCGCUGGCAACAACGAGGCUAGUUAAAUGAUCACCCACGACAGAACUCGGCUUAUUGUCUACUUAAACG